Molecule: transfer RNA, 77 nt
Filed under: Pseudomonadota bacterium
Lineage: Bacteria; Pseudomonadati; Pseudomonadota
Also listed under: 4 other names
Description: tRNA-Val
Rfam family: tRNA
About the family: Transfer RNA (tRNA) molecules are approximately 80 nucleotides in length. Their secondary structure includes four short double-helical elements and three loops (D, anti-codon, and T loops).
Source: RNAcentral
GGGCGCGUAGCUCAGCUGGUUAGAGCGCAUGUAUCACACACAUGAGGUCGGGGGUUCGAGUCCCUCCGCGCCCACCA